GAUGAACGCUGGCGGCGUGCUUAACACAUGCAAGUCGAGCGAAGCACUUAAGUUUGAUUCUUCGGAUGAAGACUUUUGUGACUGAGCGGCGGACGGGUGAGUAACGCGUGGGUAACCUGCCUCAUACAGGGGAAUAACAGUUAGAAAUGGCUGCUAAUGCCGCAUAAGCGCACAGGACCGCAUGGUCCGGUGUGAAAAACCGAGGUGGUAUGAGAUGGACCCGCGUCUGAUUAGGUAGUUGGUGGGGUAACGGCCUACCAAGCCGACGAUCAGUAGCCGGCCUGAGAGGGUGAACGGCCACAUUGGGACUGAGACACGGCCCAG
This 324-nucleotide ribosomal RNA is filed under the name uncultured bacterium. Its description in RNAcentral is "bacterial SSU rRNA". It matches the Rfam family "Bacterial small subunit ribosomal RNA", at positions 28 to 334 of the family's 1533-position model. The record is from RNAcentral.